This is a long non-coding RNA of Triticum urartu, 1380 nucleotides long. RefSeq lists it as uncharacterized. The record is from RefSeq and is a predicted model, not a curated record. NCBI's taxonomy places the organism in Eukaryota, Viridiplantae, Streptophyta, Magnoliopsida, Poales, Poaceae.
GGGGAAUAAGCCCACCCCACCUCCCCCCCAAUCCUGAUCCCACGAGCUCCCGCACCUCCCCGCCUACCGCCCUGUCCCCAACCAGUGGCACCGGCACCGCCGCCACCAAGCCCCCAACCGGAGACGCGGCGGCCGUCCCGCCCCAACCGGUGACACCACGGCAGCCCCGCCAUGCCUCAACCGGAGACACCGCGGCCCCAACGUCCCGCCGCUGCCCCCAGCUUUCCCUGCCGUCAAUACGCUCCACCGUCACGUCGUGCCACCACGCGCCACCACGCGCUGCCAGAGGCGGAGGAAGCUUCCUCCCCCAGAGCGCGAAAACCGUUCCACCCCAUCCCCUAUUGCUCCCUUCGGUGAGGUAAACGAUGAGAUCCCCCACCCCCUCUGUACUCCUCCCCAAUCGUGCUUGUAUCUUCAAUACCUAGGAUGUAGUUCUGGAGGCUUCUCCUCACUCCAUGAACGGUGUUGCUCAUUGGAACACACAAGCCGUGGUGGGCUGCUAUUCGACAGACACGUGCAAGUAGUUUGUCUUUGGCCCGUGGCGUCACCCUUUGCACUGGCGAGCAUGGGAGCUGGCCUGAGGCGUGGUCCUACUCGUCGUCCCUUGGUGUCGCUCGACUGAAGAGGGAUGGAGCUCCGCACAACGUGCGAAGUUCGAUGGGUGAGCCUAUGCAGUCCGACGGUGCGUGUUGGGCAGAUGGCACGCAGCUGCCGCGGUGAAGCCCCUGCCUAUGCAGUUCAGUUUUGCCUACUGUUGCAUUCUCUAUUUCUGAACUGAACAUUUGUGAUAGACGUAUGUGUGUGCUGCUGAUGUGUGUGUGUCGUGCAAUGGCAUUUUAGUUAGCACCCAAACAUGCUUCUUACUUUGUUGUACGUACAAAAUUGUGGUUGCUCGCUUCUUUCUGAGUUAUUUGAUUGUUGUACAUCUAUAUUUCCUAUACUAGUGAUGAACCUGCAGCUAGAGGAGGGCUCGGCCUGCAGCAAGAGGAGGGCACGACCUGCAGCUAGGUGGCCACAUCCUGCAGAGAAGAUAGAGGCAGCUGGGUGACGGAUCUUGCACGCGCCCCUCCGGCCAGGAGGCUGCCAAGCUGCUAGGUCGUCGGCCACCAGCAGAGGAGCAGCAGGUCAUCUUUCCCCACCUCCUGGUGCAGAACGCUGAUGACGCCGAGCCUCUCAGCCCCUCUGCCCUCGACCAGUAUUCCUUGUAGAAAUCGAGCACUGGUCCCAACAAGCUAGGAGAGGUUCAUGUAUUUUUUCUCACGAGGGAAUUUUACCUAAGUUGACGCAAAAAAGUUCGUUUUGUAAUUCAUGGAAGUUUGAUGCCUAUGCUUUUGAGACUAAAACUGUUUUCAUUUCAUGAAAGCCAAAAAAAAUUGUGGA